UACGUAGGGGGCUAGCGUUGUCCGGAUUUAUUGGGCGUAAAGAGCUCGUAGAUGGUUCGGUAAGUCGGAUGUGAAAUCUCCAGGCUCAACCUGGAGGGGUCAUUCGAUACUGCCGUGACUAGAGUUCGGUAGAGGAGUGUGGAAUUCCUGGUGGAGCGGUGAAAUGCGCAGAGAUCAGGAGGAACACCCGUAGCGAAGGCGGCACUCUGGGCCGAUACUGACACUGAGGAGCGAAAGCGUGGGGAGCGAACAGG
Molecule: ribosomal RNA, 254 nt
Filed under: uncultured bacterium
Lineage: Bacteria
Description: partial 16S ribosomal RNA
Rfam family: Bacterial small subunit ribosomal RNA
Source: RNAcentral